AAAGAGGGUGCUGUUGGGUUGGGUUUUCGGAAAUUAGUUUCGUCGCAGGUCAACUCGAGGGGGUACAAAUGCUGCACUGCACGCUCCAACUCUCCAUUGACUGUUCGUAACUUGGCUCCCCGCACGACGCCAUCUUUACCUUUAAUCAGCUCCGAGACUACCCCGAGUUUCCAUGUGUUCCGAUUUUUGUUUUCGCCCUGCACAAUAACCGCCGAUCCUUUUCUUGGGCAUGUCGCUUGUUUCCCCGCUGCGUUGACAUGACGUUCGCGUAAACUUCUUACGUACUCGCGAGACCAACGUCGCCACAUAGCUCGCUUGCAUGUUUUCAAAAAUUUCGCCCGCUUCCGAAGAUCACUUUCUUCCAAAUAUUUCGCUUUUAGUUCAGGUAAUUGACUUGCUGGGUUGAUAUUCAACAUAGAGUUGGGCGUUAAGACUGGAAGCUCGACAUCAUCCUCGAGGUAAGUCAAAGGGCGAUUGUUGAGAGCCACC
Non-coding RNA from Paramuricea clavata, 489 nucleotides. Lineage: Eukaryota; Metazoa; Cnidaria; Anthozoa; Malacalcyonacea; Plexauridae. The record is from the annotation of a GenBank genome assembly.